RNAcentral lists this long non-coding RNA (1457 nucleotides) under Homo sapiens (human). Its description in RNAcentral is "non-protein coding lnc-CPN2-4:46". The record is from RNAcentral. Lineage: Eukaryota; Metazoa; Chordata; Mammalia; Primates; Hominidae.
AGACCGAGGCCCCGUUGCGCGCGGCCGCCUUCGGAGCGCCGCCCUCCUCCCGAAACCGGCCGGGGCGAGUGGCUGCAAGAAGCUGCGGUUUGGCCCGCGGGAGAGGGGGGCUUCCCCGCUGGGGUUGUCUGACGCGAACGCCUUCCUGGCCCCAGCCAGGCGCCCUGAGAGAGCUAAUGCUGGCAGCUGUUGGGAUGUCCUCUUCCAGGAAUGGUGAUGAGUUUCCCUGGAUCCAGCCCUGGCUUGGCUGAGAUGAUGAAGGUUUAAGAAGCAGCAUCAUCAGCGAACUGUGUUUUGAAGAUUUGAGGGAAGGGCUGACCUCAGGAUUUUAUACUAGGUAUUUGAUGCAAUGCAGACUGGAAUCCUCCCCACAAGGAUGCCCUGGCCUGAGUGGCACAGAGAUCAAUGCAGCAGUCAUUUCCUGGGCGGGGAAAGCCCAUCCACAGUGGCCCUGGAAUGAUGCUGGUCUUACCUUCUAUUCCUAGGAAGGCCCUAUCUCAAGUGGCUCUGGUCCAUGCAAACAGAUGGAAACGGGUGUGGGGAAGCACAGGCCUCCUACUCAUGUUAAGAGAGCUGCUCAGAGGCAGGAAUCCAGAACCAGGAAUGUCCCCAGUGGCUGCCCAAGGUACAAGUGGCAGGCAGCGGGGAGAAUGGCAUGUGAAGUCAUUUGUAACCUGGCCCCAGCUUGGUUUCCAAGUCUCAGAGGAGAUUAUGGAUAUGGUAGUGCCUGGCUCAGUGCUUAAAAUCCAUUCUCCUGCUAUUUCCCUCACCUACACUCAGCCCCACAAGCCGAGAUGUUUGCUGGACAUUUCAGGCACUGCCACCCAGUUCUGUCUACCUUACCUGCUAACACCUGUUGACCAUCCUUCAUGUGAAGGCUUCCCCAAAUACUUCCCAAUCAAAACACUAAAAGGCAGACCUGAAAUUAAUAAAAAUGUUAAUUAAAUCUGUACAACAGAAAGCAUAAUGCCAGUCUUUUUAAUUAUGAAAUGUAGCAUUCAUAUAAAUUUCAUUGCUUUUGAAAACAAUCUAUGGCUAGAUUCUCCUGGGUUUGUAUGAUGAUUACUGAAAACUGUAGAAAAUCUAAAAUCAAGCAAGUUGUUUAUAGGCAAUUACUUUCAGAAGCAAAAAUUAUAAAAGAACCAUGAGAUUUUUAAAGAGAAAAAAUUACAUUUGAUAUGAGAUAAUCAUGCAUUUUAAGAUGUUUAAAAUGACAUGGAGUGGGGUCCCCAGACCAGGAGAGCUGAGGGCUUAUGAAGGACCUAAGGGAGUGAGACCUGUUAUGUAAUAAGCCCCCAUUCUGGGGGCAGCACCACAGAGGCGGGACCCCAGAAGUAGAAGAAGAGCCCUCCUGCACUGGGUGGUGAAGUUGGUAUCAGCCCCUAGUUUGUGACCCUGGACAGAUUUCUCUGCUCUCCAGCCCUCAGAGUCCUCAAUAAAACAAAAACAUAUGCAAA